RNAcentral lists this ribosomal RNA (1373 nucleotides) under uncultured bacterium. RNAcentral describes it as "bacterial SSU rRNA". It matches the Rfam family "Bacterial small subunit ribosomal RNA", at positions 28 to 1381 of the family's 1533-position model. The record is from RNAcentral.
GACGAACGCUGGCGGCGUGCCUAAUACAUGCAAGUCGAGCGGACCGACGGGAGCUUGCUCCCUUAGGUCAGCGGCGGACGGGUGAGUAACACGUGGGUAACCUGCCUGUAAGACUGGGAUAACUCCGGGAAACCGGGGCUAAUACCGGAUGCUUGAUUGAACCGCAUGGUUCAAUCAUAAAAGGUGGCUUUUAGCUACCACUUGCAGAUGGACCCGCGGCGCAUUAGCUAGUUGGUGAGGUAACGGCUCACCAAGGCGACGAUGCGUAGCCGACCUGAGAGGGUGAUCGGCCACACUGGGACUGAGACACGGCCCAGACUCCUACGGGAGGCAGCAGUAGGGAAUCUUCCGCAAUGGACGAAAGUCUGACGGAGCAACGCCGCGUGAGUGAUGAAGGUUUUCGGAUCGUAAAACUCUGUUGUUAGGGAAGAACAAGUACCGUUCGAAUAGGGCGGUACCUUGACGGUACCUAACCAGAAAGCCACGGCUAACUACGUGCCAGCAGCCGCGGUAAUACGUAGGUGGCAAGCGUUGUCCGGAAUUAUUGGGCGUAAAGCGCGCGCAGGCGGUUUCUUAAGUCUGAUGUGAAAGCCCCCGGCUCAACCGGGGAGGGUCAUUGGAAACUGGGGAACUUGAGUGCAGAAGAGGAGAGUGGAAUUCCACGUGUAGCGGUGAAAUGCGUAGAGAUGUGGAGGAACACCAGUGGCGAAGGCGACUCUCUGGUCUGUAACUGACGCUGAGGCGCGAAAGCGUGGGGAGCGAACAGGAUUAGAUACCCUGGUAGUCCACGCCGUAAACGAUGAGUGCUAAGUGUUAGAGGGUUUCCGCCCUUUAGUGCUGCAGCAAACGCAUUAAGCACUCCGCCUGGGGAGUACGGUCGCAAGACUGAAACUCAAAGGAAUUGACGGGGGCCCGCACAAGCGGUGGAGCAUGUGGUUUAAUUCGAAGCAACGCGAAGAACCUUACCAGGUCUUGACAUCCUCUGGCAACCCUAGAGAUAGGGCUUCCCCUUCGGGGGCAGAGUGACAGGUGGUGCAUGGUUGUCGUCAGCUCGUGUCGUGAGAUGUUGGGUUAAGUCCCGCAACGAGCGCAACCCUUGAUCUUAGUUGCCAGCAUUCAGUUGGGCACUCUAAGGUGACUGCCGGUGACAAACCGGAGGAAGGUGGGGAUGACGUCAAAUCAUCAUGCCCCUUAUGACCUGGGCUACACACGUGCUACAAUGGGCAGAACAAAGGGCAACGAAACCCGCGAGGCUAAACCAAUUCCCACAAAUCUGUUCCUCAUUCGGAUCCGCAUCUGCAACUCGACUGCGUGGAACUGGAAUCGCUAGUAAUCGCGGAUCAGCAUGCCGCGGUGAAAACGUUCCCGGGCCU